GUGCUCACUUGGGCAGCGUAUACACUAAAAUUGGAAUGAUACAGAGAUUAACAUGAUCCCUGCACAAGGAUGAUACACAAAUUUGUGAAGCAAUCUGUAUUUUC
Oryctolagus cuniculus (rabbit) is the source of this 104-nucleotide small nuclear RNA. Lineage: Eukaryota; Metazoa; Chordata; Mammalia; Lagomorpha; Leporidae. The record is from Ensembl.